ACAAGCUUCAUCAGACCUUCUCUCUCUCCUUCUCUCUCUCAGGCGACUCAAGAACAUCAACCACCUUCUCUUUCGGGCGACUCAGAAUCAGAGUCAGAAGCUUAAAUGGGCUCAAGGGAAAGCGGGUGAGAAUCGGGUACAUGUUUUGGAGGAGCACGGGUGAGUUUUCGUGGGGAUUUAUGAUGGGUUUAACGGUCCGGAUUCACCGGAUUAUCUGUUGUCGAAUUUGUAUCCUGCUGUCGGUCUUCUUCAUUUGAGUUCUCCCAUGGAGAAAUCUGAUGAACUUCUCCUGCGAGUUCUAAAGUCGUUGCCAUUAGGUUUCUACUCAGGUUUUCCCUAAGAUGGUUGAAGAUGGAUUUCCAAGCCCUAACGUUGUCACAAUCGGAAUCAUGCCGAUUUGUACUUUUUAUUGGUAUUAAUCUUUAUGGGUAUUCUUUAAGGUGUUUUUGUUUUGAUUCCCAAGCCCUAAGUUAGUUAUUUUAUUGUGUUUUGAUUGUAUGAAUCAAACAAUGUUAAUGUUGUUAUGUUUAUAUCGAGCUUUAGAGAUCUGCAAGUGUUUCCGAGAUCCCUCAAUGCGUUACGAGUGGCUUUGUAUUUGGCACACACAUUAGACCACGACUGCAACAAAGUGCGGUUUCUGUACCCCGACUACUUUAAUGCUUACAAAAUCUUGCUUAAUAAGGUAGCUACACGAUCUUAGAGGUGACGAGAUGGACUGUUGGUUGUGGUUUGUCGUUCUGCGUUAUUAUCUUUGCUGGGGUAGGUCUUUGGUUUGAUGGAAGCCCUGUGCUCAGAUUGAAGAUAUGUGAUUUUGGUUACUCAAUGGUAAGCAUUAAUUUACUUCUUAUAAUCUUGAGAACUAUUAUAUUGUUCUUAAAAGCUGUAUAUUAGAGGACUUAGCAAAGGGUGUUAAUUUAGUUCAUAUCCCAAGGAAUCUUUUAGACGACUUGCGUUUUUAUUUGAAGUAAAGUGUGUCUUCAACAACUAUGAACAUGCAUUUAUAUGUGAUGUUAAUAGUCCAUUUAAAAAAAAUCGAUAGAGAGAAGUUUGUUUGCCGCAGGAAGGUCUCAAAAGAACAAUUUAAUCUGAAACUUUUCUUAAAAUAAAGGGGCUUCCAAAAUUAUAGUAUAUAGUGAAUUGGUAUAUUUAUUAGGACCAUAAGUGUUAUGAGUUGCAACUGUUAGAGUUAAUCUAUGUUAGCGAUGAAAGAUAUUAAAAAUAUAAGUGAGGUCUGGUACAGGUUAGGGUGGGUUUUAAAAAGUCGGCAUUUUGGUUUGUGUUAAAACGAGUUUUAUUAAAAUGGAUGGGUCGAAAUGGCUUUUUUUUAAUAAAAAUGUAUUAGAUAACUAGAAAUAAUAAUUAUGACCAUAUUUAUUGUUGUCGAAAUGAGUGACGAGGGUUGUUGGUGCAUACAUCUGUCGUCUUCGUCUUAUAUCGAGUCUCGGUUUCGGUGCGGAUCUGAACAAGCGUGACAUCAUAUAUGUGACAUCACAUAUAUGACAUCACAUAUUGCAGCCAAGGUGGCAGCUAAAGCAUAUGAACUUGGUGAGCCCUCUAUUCAUACAGUCUGGGCCAACAAAACCAACAAACCAAACCAGACCGUCGACCGUUGGUUUUUGGUGCUUGAGAUUUUAAAAGACCCGCUCAUGGUUAUCAAGUUUUUCAAUUUUUUAUUCCAUUAAAAUUAAUUCACACACAAGGAGCAAUAUCUACACCAAUCUUAUAAAUGUAGCUUUAUAAAAGGAUUUUCAAUUUUCAAACUUUGAUGGCCAACCUGAUGAAGACACUUUUUUUGGGGUAAAAUUUCAUCAUCACAAGGUAUCAUGUGCACAUUUGUUGUAAACCAAACUUCAUGAAUUUAUCCAUUUUGUUUUUGUAUUUAUAAAUAACAAAUGAGCUGGGUUGGGUUAACCAAAACACCAUUUUACCUUUUUUUUUGUUUUUUUAGCUUGAACCUGAGCUCAAUGUAAGACUUGAGUGAGCUCGAGUUGCUCAAUUCAACCUUGACUUGUAUGCAAGAAUGUGCUCUCGAAUGGGAUGACAACCGUGAUAACCCCUGGUCUUAAAGUCAAGCUUUCAACUAUUCAGUCAAAGUCAACAUCUUUGACUAUGCCCAGAUUUGAAGUUCAGUGACUAGGUACUAGAGUUAGGAGAGCUUUGGAUGGUUGGUUAAUGAGUCUGAUAGUUUGUAUAGUUUGCUAUAUUAGAUCUAUUUGUGCUUUUCAAGAGCCUUGCUGCUGUAGAAACCAUUUUUGUUACAUGGCUUUUGAAGGGUACACAUUCUAUGAGCCUUGCUGUUAAAGUAAAUUUACAUUUUGCGGCUGGCCCCAAUAAAGGAGACACAAGCCAUUGCGAGAUCUGUGGCCGGAGCCUUGAUGCUUUUUUUUUGUUCACUUGGUUGCAAGCUGCUAAACAUGAGAACGAAGCUGAACCGAAGAAGAUCUGCAUCCAAUUUUUGCUGAAUGGGGACCACUUCGUCAUGUCCGUGUUAUCAUGGAGUGAAAUUUCGGUGUUUCCGGUGGAUUCGCAUUUAUAGAUUUCCCGACCACGGGGUCUGCACGCUCGAUGAUGGAUAAAGUUGGAGAUGAGGGUCUUCUUGUUGAUGGUAGGAAGCUAUUUUUUGAGUAUAGUAAGCCAGCUGGAGGAGCCGGUGGACCUUUCUUCGGGUCAGACGGGUCAUCGAGGGCGGGUCAUAUGAACCACUGAAGCACAAUGCUUCUUCCGGAUUGGAUGUGCACAAUAUGUGGCUGCGUUAAUUUUGCUAGGAGGACAUCAUGUUUUCAGUGUAACGAACCUAGGACAGACAAUGCUCCUCUUGCUGACAUAGCAUCAUCAAAUCAUGCUUCAUUUGAGUAUGGCUGACCGUAUAAUCGUGAUGAGAACUUCACUUAGGGAAAACAUCGAGAAGUUGGGCUCUCCGUUAUCAUGGGAACACAUAACUAAUCAGAUUGGCAUGUUCUGCUAUAGUGGAAUGACUCCUGAACAAGUUGAUCGCUUGACAAAAGAGUUUUACAUUUACAUUGUUGUAGCGGGCCAUGCUUAUUGUUCUAAUUGUUGUAGCUGGCCAAGCUUAUUGUUUUGCUAAUUGUUAUGACAGGACAUAAAAAGUGUAUACGGGUCACUGUUAAAGCUGCUUACAAUUGUUUUUCUGAAUACAUGUUAUGGGUAGUUGUAACGGGCCAGGUAACGGGUCAAAAAAAGCUCUGGUCAAAACGGGCCAUUUUAGUACGGGUCAAAACAGUGUAGGCUGACCUUUGAGCACUUUUUUACAGUGUAGGUUGACCUACCAUCAUUUAUUUCCUCACUUCACCCCCUCAACGUCUUCAUUUAUGCAGAACUUGUGGUUAACUCCGAGUUUGUGAAUCUAUGAAAAGAAAAAAUGGAAAAAAGUCUAAUAAGAGUGAGAAAUUGCACUGGAUACAAUCACGCUCGACAAAAGGUGGACUCGGAUACAAUCGACUUGGUGAUGGGAAUUUUUAAUGUUUGUUAUGAAACACCUUUGAGAAAACAAAUAGUCUUUUUGCAGACCGCAGAUGUUUGGUCCUCCCAUUCUAUCACAGAGGUUUGCAGAUGUGGUCCGCAGACGUUUUACCUCUGAAAAAACAAAUAGCACCUCAGUUAGAAACAACACAUUAUAUUUUGAAUAAAGAAAAUAGGAUACAUGAAUAAGUAUUUUAAACUAAGAAAUAUUAUAUGAAGGGUUGAAAUAAGAUAAGCGGGACAUCAAUAUUUACUCACAAAAUUCUAACACACCAGACAAUCAGU
RNAcentral lists this long non-coding RNA (3765 nucleotides) under Helianthus annuus (common sunflower). Lineage: Eukaryota; Viridiplantae; Streptophyta; Magnoliopsida; Asterales; Asteraceae. The record is from RNAcentral.